Picea glauca (white spruce) is the source of this 109-nucleotide non-coding RNA. The record is from Rfam. NCBI's taxonomy places the organism in Eukaryota, Viridiplantae, Streptophyta, Pinopsida, Pinales, Pinaceae.
UAAAACAUAGAAUUAAUGCACUGGAUCCCAUUAGAACAAUGUAGUUAAGCCCAAUCAGGCUAGAGUAGUAUUGGGAUGGAUGACCGUCAAGGAAGUCCUAGUGUUUUAC